RNAcentral lists this ribosomal RNA (451 nucleotides) under uncultured bacterium. RNAcentral describes it as "bacterial SSU rRNA". It matches the Rfam family "Bacterial small subunit ribosomal RNA", at positions 354 to 796 of the family's 1533-position model. The record is from RNAcentral.
GUGGGGAAUAUUGGACAAUGGGGGGAACCCUGAUCCAGCCAUGCCGCGUGUGUGAAGAAGGCCUUUUGGUUGUAAAGCACUUUAAGCGAGGAGGAGGCUACCGAGAUUAAUACUCUUGGAUAGUGGACGUUACUCGCAGAAUAAGCACCGGCUAACUCUGUGCCAGCAGCCGCGGUAAUACAGAGGGUGCAAGCGUUAAUCGGAUUUACUGGGCGUAAAGCGCGCGUAGAUGGCCAAUUAAGUCAAAUGUGAAAUCCCCGAGCUUAACUUGGGAAUUGCAUUCGAUACUGGUUGGCUAGAGUAUGGGAGAGGAUGGUAGAAUUCCAGGUGUAGCGGUGAAAUGCGUAGAGAUCUGGAGGAAUACCGAUGGCGAAGGCAGCCAUCUGGCCUAAUACUGACACUGAGGUGCGAAAGCAUGGGGAGCAAACAGGAUUAGAUACCCCAGUAGUCC